UACGGGGGGGGCAAGCGUUGUUCGGAAUUACUGGGCGUAAAGGGCGCGUAGGCGGUUGGAUAAGUCAGCUGUGAAAACCACGGGCUUAACUCGUGGCCUGCAGUUGAGACUGUCUGGCUUGAGUGUGGGAGAGGAGAGUGGAAUUCCUGGUGUAGCGGUGAAAUGCGUAGAUAUCAGGAGGAACACCGGUGGCGAAGGCGGCUCUCUGGACCACAACUGACGCUGAGGUGCGAAAGCGUGGGGAGCAAACAGG
This 253-nucleotide ribosomal RNA is filed under the name uncultured bacterium. RNAcentral describes it as "partial 16S ribosomal RNA". It matches the Rfam family "Bacterial small subunit ribosomal RNA", at positions 524 to 776 of the family's 1533-position model. The record is from RNAcentral.